UUGUCAGGCCUAACACAUGCAAGUCGCACGGUCAGCAAUGGCAGUGGCGGACGGGUGAGUAACACGUAGGAAUCUAUCCUGGGGUGGGGGACAACAGCGGGAAACUGCUGCUAAUACCGCAUGAUACCUGAGGGUCAAAGGCGCAAGUCGCCUUGGGAGGAGCCUGCGUCUGAUUAGCUUGUUGUUGGGGUAAAGGCCUACCAAGGCGACGAUCAGUAGCUGGUCUGAGAGGAUGAUCAGCCACAUUGGGACUGAGACACGGCCCAAACUCCUACGGUAGGCAGCAGUCGUGAAUAUUGAAAACACUGGGCGAUACCCUGAUCCAGCAAUGCCGCGUGUGUGAAGAAGGUCUUCGGAUUGUAAAGCACUUUUGGCAGGCACGAUGAUGACGGUACCUGCAGAAUAAC
RNAcentral lists this ribosomal RNA (407 nucleotides) under uncultured bacterium. Its description in RNAcentral is "bacterial SSU rRNA". It matches the Rfam family "Bacterial small subunit ribosomal RNA", at positions 39 to 490 of the family's 1533-position model. The record is from RNAcentral.